UUGGAAAGACCCACCACAGAAGGUAAUAGUCCUGUAUGUUAAACGAGAAGACUUUAGAUAUGAUCCAGAGUACCACGGGACACGUGAAACCCUGUGGGAAGCAGGAGGGACCACCCUCCAAGGCUAAAUACUACCUAGUGACCGAUAGCGUAUAGUACCGUGAGGGAAAGGUGAAAAGAACCCCGGGAGGGGAGUGAAAUAGAACCUGAAACCCUGCACUUACAAGCUGUGGAAGCACAUUUCUUGUGUGACCGCGUACUUUUUGUAGAACGGGCCAACGAGUUACGUUAAGUAGCAAGGUUAAGCACUUAAGGUGCGGAGCCGUAGCGAAAGCGAGUUUUAACUGAGCGUUCAGUUACUUGACGUAGACCCGAAACCGGGCGACCUACCCAUGAGCAGGAUGAAGCGAAAGUAAAAUUUCGUGGAGGUCCGAACCCACGAGCGUUGAAAAGCUCGGGGAUGACUUGUGGGUAGCGGUGAAAUUCCAAUCGAGCCCGGAGAUAGCUGGUUCUCCCCGAAAUAGCUUUAGGGCUAGCCUCAAGGUGAGAGAUACGGAGGUAGAGCACUGAAUGUCCUAGGGGGUAUUGCACCUACCGAAGACUAUCAAACUCCGAAUGCCGUCAUCUUAUACUUGGGAGUCAGACUGUGGGUGAUAAGAUUCAUAGUCGAAAGGGCAACAGCCCAGAUCGUCAGCUAAGGUCCCUAAAUGUAAGUUAAGUGGUAAAGGAUGUGGGAUUGCACAGACAACCAGGAUGUUGGCUUAGAAGCAGCCACUCAUUCAAAGAGUGCGUAAUAGCUCACUGGUCGAGUGAUCCUGCGCCGAAGAUUUCCGGGGCUAAAACUUACUACCGAAGCUACGGCAUCAGUAAUGA
This 872-nucleotide ribosomal RNA is filed under the name Clostridioides difficile. Its description in RNAcentral is "partial 23S ribosomal RNA". It matches the Rfam family "Bacterial large subunit ribosomal RNA", at positions 342 to 1217 of the family's 2925-position model. Lineage: Bacteria; Bacillati; Bacillota; Clostridia; Peptostreptococcales; Peptostreptococcaceae. The record is from RNAcentral.